UACGGAGGGUGUAAGCGUUGUUCGGAAUCACUGGGCGUAAAGCGCACGUAGGCGGAUUCGCAAGCCAAUUGUGAAAGCCCGGGGCUCAACCUCGGAAUUGCAGUUGGAACUGCGAACCUUGAAUGCUCGAGAGGAUGGGGGAAUUCCUGGUGUAGAAGUGAAAUUCGUAGAUAUCAGGAGGAACACCUGAGGCGAAGGCGCCUGUCUGGCGGUGCAUUGACGCUGAGGUGCGAAAGCGUGGGUAGCAAACAGG
Molecule: unclassified non-coding RNA, 253 nt
Filed under: uncultured Oligoflexaceae bacterium
Lineage: Bacteria; Pseudomonadati; Bdellovibrionota; Oligoflexia; Oligoflexales; Oligoflexaceae
Description: contains 16S-23S intergenic spacer region
Rfam family: Bacterial small subunit ribosomal RNA
Source: RNAcentral